Molecule: ribosomal RNA, 360 nt
Filed under: uncultured bacterium
Lineage: Bacteria
Description: partial 16S ribosomal RNA
Rfam family: Bacterial small subunit ribosomal RNA
Source: RNAcentral
CCUACGGGUGGCAGCAGUGAGGAAUAUUGGUCAAUGGACGAGAGUCUGAACCAGCCAAGCAGCGUGAAUGAUGACUGCCCUAUGGGUUGUAAGCUUUUUUUAUAUGGGAAUAAAUUGUUCCACGUGUGGGGUUCUGUAUGUACCAUAUCAAUAAGGAUCGGCGAAUACCGCGACAGCAGCCGCGGUAAUACGGAGGAUCCGAGCGUUAUGCGGAUUUAGUGGGUUUAAAGGGAACGGCGGUGGAUUGUUAAGGCAGUUGUGAAAGUUUGGGGGUCAAACGUAAAAUUGCAGUUGAAACUGGCAGUCUUGAGUACAGUAGAGGAGGGCGGAAUUCAUGGGGUAGCGGUGAAAUGCUUAGAG